AGGUAACAGCCAAAACAAAUACAUACCAAUCUGUCAAUUGCAUUUUUGAUAGCGUGGAACCAAUCCAAUAUGAGAAAGUCGAUAUCCGACUGGAGGAGGAACUCAUUUCCUGACACUGUCGUGAUCUGGGGAAGGCAUAAACACACACAGGCGUGUAUCAUGCACUGCUGAAAUAAACAGAGGGACUGGAGGAACAAUUGGAAGACAAAUCUGGGGAAAAAAAAAAGAAGACAUGACAAUGAAGUGCUCGAGAUAGAGCUGCCAGUCUCCAUUGGGCCAGAUAAUCCAGUCUCUUGGCCACAUUCAUGCUGAAUGCAUCAGCAGCAGAAAGGGCACUGGACAUCUGACAAUACACAGGCUAUCAGAAGACACCUGCUUUCUUUGAGAUACACAUGUAUACCUGGAUCAUGCAAAGAAUUUAGACCUCUUGUACUCGGUGAUGUAUAUUACAUAGAAUCACAGAACCUCAAGGGUUGGAAGGGACCUCCAAAGAUAUCCAGUCCAACCCUCCUGCCAGAGCAGGACCACUUAGAGUAGGUCACACAGGAACUCAUCCAGGUGGGUUUUGCCCCAUCUGCAUAUUACAUUCAGUUAAAAGAUACUUUGAUUUGACCCACCAGCCUUUUCUGGAGCAAAGACAAUAACCACUCCCACCAUCAGUGUCUUUUGUUACUUUUCUUAA
Long non-coding RNA from Colius striatus (speckled mousebird), 682 nucleotides. RefSeq lists it as uncharacterized. Lineage: Eukaryota; Metazoa; Chordata; Aves; Coliiformes; Coliidae. The record is from RefSeq and is a predicted model, not a curated record. The transcript has 5 exons.